GAUGAAGAACGUAGCGAAAUGCGAUAAGUAAUGUGAAUUGCAGAAUUCAGUGAAUCAUCGAAUCUUUGAACGCACAUUGCGCCCGCCAGUAUUCUGGCGGGCAUGCCUGUCUGAGCGUCAUUUCAACCCUCAUGCCCCUAGGGCGUGGUGUUGGGGAUCGGCCAAAGCCCGCGAGGGACGGCCGGCCCCUAAAUCUAGUGGCGGACCCGUCGUGGCCUCCUCUGCGAAGUAGUGAUAUUCCGCAUCGGAGAGCGAUGAGCCCCUGCCGUUAAACCCCCAACUUUCCAAGGUUGACCUCAGAUCAGGUAGGAAUACCCGCUGAACUUAAGCAUAUCAUAAGCGGAGA
This 346-nucleotide unclassified non-coding RNA is filed under the name soil metagenome. RNAcentral's name for it is "partial contains 5.8S ribosomal RNA, internal transcribed spacer 2, and large subunit ribosomal RNA". The stretch from base 1 to 120 matches the Rfam family "5.8S ribosomal RNA", at positions 35 to 154 of the family's 154-position model. The record is from RNAcentral.